RNAcentral lists this non-coding RNA (190 nucleotides) under Candidatus Contendibacter sp. Its description in RNAcentral is "Candidatus Contendobacter sp. 6S RNA". It matches the Rfam family "6S / SsrS RNA". From Rfam's summary of the family: E. coli 6S RNA was the first non coding RNA to be sequenced, but its function was unknown until recently. It consists of 184 nucleotides that fold into an extended hairpin structure with a large single-stranded internal bulge. The record is from RNAcentral. Lineage: Bacteria; Pseudomonadati; Pseudomonadota; Gammaproteobacteria; Candidatus Competibacteraceae.
CGCUCGCUGCGGUGUUCGAGUAAGGGGCCGGAUAACCCCUUGAUCCUAAUUAAUCUGACCCAGGGUGUACGGUUGUCGACGCAAGUGUGCAUGUCCGCCUUGCCGCGGAAAGCCUGGAGCGUCGCUCUGUUCCCCACUUGAACCUCACGGUUCAAGGGUAACGGCUCGAAACGGCACAGGCGGAGAGCGC